GGGAGGUAUACACACUGUGAGAAUAAAGUUUGAAAUUCCAGAAGUUGAACAUGCCCAGAUCAAAAAGCAGACCUGAGAUGUCCCUAGAAUAUCCUUAUCUCCCUUCUGUGACCUCCCCCCACUAAGGUGACCAGUGACUGGCAUCAUGAUUUCUAACAGCUUAGAUUAGUUUCACCCAUUUUCGCAGGCCAUCCUCUCUCAAGACUUCUCUUUUUCCAGAGAAGCAGAACUCUGGAGUGCACUGACCAUUAGGAGUUCGCAUCAGUGCCUUAUCCAGAGUAGCAGAUGCUGAAUACAGUUAUUGAGUGGAUCCAGGAACACAGACACCUGAAGAAAUUCGGGAUCCUGCCAACUGUGGCAAGCAACCACUGGCAGAGCGGG
Long non-coding RNA from Cervus elaphus (red deer), 381 nucleotides. RefSeq lists it as uncharacterized. The transcript is spliced from 3 exons. Lineage: Eukaryota; Metazoa; Chordata; Mammalia; Artiodactyla; Cervidae. The record is from RefSeq and is a predicted model, not a curated record.